GCCAAGAUAGCUCAGUCGGUAGAGCAAAAGACUGAAAAUCUUUGUGUCACCAGUUCAAAUCUGGUUCUUGGCA
This 73-nucleotide transfer RNA is filed under the name Prototheca moriformis. RNAcentral's name for it is "tRNA-Phe". It matches the Rfam family "tRNA". Rfam says of the family: Transfer RNA (tRNA) molecules are approximately 80 nucleotides in length. Their secondary structure includes four short double-helical elements and three loops (D, anti-codon, and T loops). Further hydrogen bonds mediate the characteristic L-shaped molecular structure. tRNAs have two regions of fundamental functional importance: the anti-codon, which is responsible for specific mRNA codon recognition, and the 3' end, to which the tRNAs corresponding amino acid is attached (by aminoacyl-tRNA synthetases). tRNAs cope with the degeneracy of the genetic code in two manners: having more than one tRNA (with a specific anti-codon) for a particular amino acid; and 'wobble' base-pairing, i.e. permitting non-standard base-pairing at the 3rd anti-codon position. The record is from RNAcentral. RNAcentral also lists the same sequence under 1 other name. Lineage: Eukaryota; Viridiplantae; Chlorophyta; Trebouxiophyceae; Chlorellales; Chlorellaceae.